GACAAGAAAUAACAAUACGGGGCUUAAUGUCUUGUAAUUGGAAUGAUGGGAAUUUAAACCUCUUCCAGAGUAUCAAUUGGAGGGCAAGUCUGGUGCCAGCAGCCGCGGUAAUUCCAGCUCCAAUAGCGUAUAUUAAAAUUGUUGCAGUUAAAAAGCUCGUAGUUGAAUUUCUGCUGCAUUGCAUUUUCUCCUAUACGAGUUUUUGCAUUGUGGCUUAUUUCGGUUAUAAAAUUAUUUUUAUUUCCGGAUGUUUACUUUGAGAAAAUUAGAGUGCUCAAAGCAGGCUUUUGCCUUGAAUAGUUUAGCAUGGAAUAAUAAAGUAGGACUUUGGUUCUAUUUUGUUGGUUUUAGGUACCAAAGUAAUGGUUAAUAGGAACAGUUGGGGGCAUUCGUAUUUAACUGUCAGAGGUGAAAUUCUUAG
This 421-nucleotide ribosomal RNA is filed under the name Theileria sp. 310_09. RNAcentral describes it as "SSU rRNA". It matches the Rfam family "Eukaryotic small subunit ribosomal RNA", at positions 469 to 923 of the family's 1831-position model. Lineage: Eukaryota; Apicomplexa; Aconoidasida; Piroplasmida; Theileriidae. The record is from RNAcentral.